RNAcentral lists this long non-coding RNA (578 nucleotides) under Marmota monax (woodchuck). The record is from RNAcentral. Lineage: Eukaryota; Metazoa; Chordata; Mammalia; Rodentia; Sciuridae.
UGGGACCUUAUGUUGCAAAUAGGAUAACUCAAUUCAUUAAGGACCAGAUUAACAUUUUAACCUCCAAGCCAAUACAGGUUCACUACCAACGCCUGGAGAUGGACGACUCCGCCCACAAGGUGUACUUACGACCCAUCCGGAGAUGAGAUGUAACUGGACAGGAGCCAAUACCCAAGCCCUCCUAUGUAUGCCUGCUUUUGCCCAGGUCCCUAAUUACCCUGCCGACUUGGUGCCGUCAUCCCAGACCCUUACGUUCAGAAAGCUCCCUGGUCAUAGCUAUCCCACUGGCAAAGAUGAUGACUGGGAUCUGCAGUUGUGUCCUGCUGGCCAUGACAUCCUAACUGAAAAGUGUCCGUUUACGUAGGACAAGAGCUGAUCUUGUAGUACCCAGUGACGGGCAACUUCCACGCUUGCACUGCAACCUAAGCCAGGGGAAUGGGGCCUCCCCAGAGACGGGUAAGCAGUGCAGGGGCGGUGGACGACCUAAGACAGGGGCUACUUGAUUCCCAUUGACAUGCAAAAAACAAAAAAGGGGGACUUGCUGGUAGCAGGCCCGCCCUGGCCCCUGGGGACUCAAC